UACGUAGGGUGCAAGCGUUAUCCGGAUUUACUGGGUUUAAAGGGUGCGUAGGCGGCUAUUUAAGUCAAUGGCUAAAUAUCGAUGCUCAACAUCGAAAGUGCUGUUGAAACUGGAAAGCUAGAGUUAAGAAAAAGUAGGCGGAAUUUGUGGUGUAGCGGUGAAAUGCUUAGAUAUCAUAAGGAACUCCAAUAGCGAAGGCA
RNAcentral lists this ribosomal RNA (200 nucleotides) under uncultured bacterium. Its description in RNAcentral is "partial 16S ribosomal RNA". It matches the Rfam family "Bacterial small subunit ribosomal RNA", at positions 524 to 723 of the family's 1533-position model. The record is from RNAcentral.